GCCCGGGUGGCGAAACUGGUAGACGCAGCGGACUUAAAAUCCGCCAGCCGCGAGGUUAUGCCGGUUCGAGUCCGGCCCCGGGCACCA
Molecule: transfer RNA, 87 nt
Filed under: Luteimonas aestuarii
Lineage: Bacteria; Pseudomonadati; Pseudomonadota; Gammaproteobacteria; Lysobacterales; Lysobacteraceae
Description: tRNA-Leu
Rfam family: tRNA
About the family: Transfer RNA (tRNA) molecules are approximately 80 nucleotides in length.
Source: RNAcentral